This 1146-nucleotide ribosomal RNA is filed under the name Staphylococcus aureus. RNAcentral describes it as "bacterial SSU rRNA". It matches the Rfam family "Bacterial small subunit ribosomal RNA", at positions 39 to 1201 of the family's 1533-position model. The record is from RNAcentral. Lineage: Bacteria; Bacillati; Bacillota; Bacilli; Caryophanales; Staphylococcaceae.
GGGACGCUGCGUAAUCGGAUACCUGGCUCGAGUUUAUCCUGGCUCGCUACGCUGAACAAGGUAGCCGAAGGUGAUUCCACGGGGAUAACCUACCUAUGAGACUGGGAUAACUUCGGGAAACCGGAGCUAAUACCGGAUAAUAUUUUGAACCGCAGGUUCAAAAGUGAAAGACGGUCUUGCUGUCACUUAUAGAUGGAUCCGCGCUGCAUUAGCUAGUUGGUAAGGUAACGGCUUACCAAGGCAACGAUGCAUAGCCGACCUGAGAGGGUGAUCGGCCACACUGGAACUGAGACACGGUCCAGACUCCUACGGGAGGCAGCAGUAGGGAAUCUUCCGCAAUGGGCGAAAGCCUGACGGAGCAACGCCGCGUGAGUGAUGAAGGUCUUCGGAUCGUAAAACUCUGUUAUUAGGGAAGAACAUAUGUGUAAGUAACUGUGCACAUCUUGACGGUACCUAAUCAGAAAGCCACGGCUAACUACGUGCCAGCAGCCGCGGUAAUACGUAGGUGGCAAGCGUUAUCCGGAAUUAUUGGGCGUAAAGCGCGCGUAGGCGGUUUUUUAAGUCUGAUGUGAAAGCCCACGGCUCAACCGUGGAGGGUCAUUGGAAACUGGAAAACUUGAGUGCAGAAGAGGAAAGUGGAAUUCCAUGUGUAGCGGUGAAAUGCGCAGAGAUAUGGAGGAACACCAGUGGCGAAGGCGACUUUCUGGUCUGUAACUGACGCUGAUGUGCGAAAGCGUGGGGAUCAAACAGGAUUAGAUACCCUGGUAGUCCACGCCGUAACGAUGAGUGCUAAGUGUUAGGGGUUUCCGCUCCUUAGUGCUGCAGCUAACGCAUUAAGCACUCCGCCUGGGGAGUACGACCGCACUGAACUCAAGGAUUGACGGGGACCCGCACAGCGUGAGCAUGUGUUUAUCGAGCACGCGAGACUACAAAUCUGACAUCUUGACACUCUGAGAUGAGCUCCCUCGGGACAAGUGACAGUGGUGCAUGUUGUCGUCAGCUCUGUCGUGAGAUGUUGGGUAAGUCCGCACAGCCCACCUAGCCUAGUGCCUCAUAGUUGGCACUCUAGUGACUGCGGUCAACGAGAAAGAUGGUGAGUCAUCCAUUGGCUGAUGGUACUGGUCCAUGCGUCAAGGAGCAACCCCG